This 568-nucleotide ribosomal RNA is filed under the name uncultured beta proteobacterium. RNAcentral describes it as "bacterial SSU rRNA". It matches the Rfam family "Bacterial small subunit ribosomal RNA", at positions 38 to 600 of the family's 1533-position model. The record is from RNAcentral. Lineage: Bacteria; Pseudomonadati; Pseudomonadota; Betaproteobacteria.
GGCGGCAUGCCUUACACAUGCAAGUCGAACGGCAGCACGGGGGCAACCCUGGUGGCGAGUGGCGAACGGGUGAGUAAUACAUCGGAACGUGUCCUGUAGUGGGGGAUAGCCCGGCGAAAGUCGGAUUAAUACCGCAUACGAUCUACGGAAGAAAGCGGGGGAUCUUCGGACCUCGCGCUGCAGGGGCGGCCGAUGGCAGAUUAGCUAGUUGGUGGGGUAAAGGCCUACCAAGGCGACGAUCCGUAGCUGGUCUGAGAGGACGACCAGCCACACUGGGACUGAGACACGGCCCAGACUCCUACGGGAGGCAGCAGUGGGGAAUUUUGGACAAUGGGGGCAACCCUGAUCCAGCAAUGCCGCGUGUGUGAAGAAGGCCUUUGGGUUGUAAAGCACUUUUGUCCGGAAAGAAAACUUCGUCCCUAAUAUGGAUGGAGGAUGACGGUACCGGAAGAAUAAGCACCGGCUAACUACGUGCCAGCAGCCGCGGUAAUACGUAGGGUGCGAGCGUUAAUCGGAAUUACUGGGCCGUAAAGCGUGCGCAGGCGGUCUGUUACGACCGAUGUGAAAU